GUACUGUCAUUAUCAUCCCUGGCGAAAGAGCUUUACGACCCUAAGGCCUUCGUCACUCACGCGGCAUGGCUAGAUCAGGCUUGCGCCCAUUGUCUAAGAUUCCCCA
Molecule: ribosomal RNA, 106 nt
Filed under: uncultured bacterium
Lineage: Bacteria
Description: partial 16S ribosomal RNA
Source: RNAcentral